UACGGAGGAUCCGAGCGUUAUCCGGAUUUAUUGGGUUUAAAGGGUGCGCAGGCGGGGGAUUAAGUCGGCGGUGAAAUUUUGCAGCUCAACUGUAAAAGUGCCGUUGAUACUGUGAGGCUAGGAUUUGGUUGCUGUGGGUGGAAUGUGUGGUGUAGCGGUGAAAUGCUUAGAGAUCACACAGAAUAUCGAUUGCGAAGGCAGCUCACAAAGCCAAGAUUGACGCUGAGGCACGAAAGUGUGGGGAUCAAACAGGAUUAGA
This 259-nucleotide ribosomal RNA is filed under the name uncultured prokaryote. RNAcentral describes it as "partial 16S ribosomal RNA". It matches the Rfam family "Bacterial small subunit ribosomal RNA", at positions 524 to 782 of the family's 1533-position model. The record is from RNAcentral.